This is a non-coding RNA of Meleagris gallopavo (turkey), 2442 nucleotides long. The record is from RefSeq and is a predicted model, not a curated record. NCBI's taxonomy places the organism in Eukaryota, Metazoa, Chordata, Aves, Galliformes, Phasianidae.
AAAAAAAAGAAAGGAAAAAAAAAAAGCAACCAACCAAACUAGGUUAGUUCACUCUUUCGAUAAAACACAGCUGUCAGUUCUGGCUCUCACAGGAGGAUUUACCCGUGCCUGGAUUGAAAUGGGUCCGGCUCUGUGUCCUCCACAACGCAGAUCUGGAAGCGGGCAUCUGGAUUCAACUCUGACUUUGGUUGGAAAACUUUGGCAGUCCUACUCACCUUGUUUGGAGGAACAGAAUCUUGUUGGGUUGCCCUUAAGAUACUUUGUCGCGAGUUCUUAUGUUUGCUAUGCUGCCGAAUGAAUUUCUAUCUCCCAAAGUUGAGAUGCAACCAUAAGGUAAAGCAACUUCGUAUGCUUUGUCUGUGGAUUGUCCCACAGACGGAUACAGUUUGUAAAUAACUCUUCCAAAACCAUGUAUUUAAAGCAGUUUGCAUAUACAUUAUGUAUAAAAGCGAUUUUUUAUCGAUUUUUUUAUUCAUGUUUGUACAUUGGAAGGGGUUCUUGGCCCCUUUUUCUGUGUUUAAUAUGCUGUAGACUAAUAACAUAGAUGCUCUAGACUGUAUAUCGGGAUAUUCUGGUUCACACAGCAGAAAGUCAGAACGAAACACUAGUGAUGGAGUAGCAUUACUAAAAUCAAUGUUUCUUGAAAUCUCAUUUUACAACAUUUGUCAACUUGUGAUUCCAAUUCCUUCCAUUUUUGCAGAAAAUUAAAGAAAAAGUACUCUUGUAAAUGCACUUUUUCUGUCUUUUCUUAAGCAAAGCAGAACUAUUUCAAUGUAAGAUAAUUAUGGAGCUCAGUAGACAGCAUUAAUAAAGGCCCUGUUUUAAACAUAGGCUUUACAUUCUAUUCUUAUUGAAAUGAUUGUUCUUGUAAAUGCCUGGGCUUACCUAAACAGGACGAUCAGUCUCCCUGAAUGGUUGUGAAGACCUUUAUCCAGAGCUAACUUUCACUGUUACUCUUACAGUAGCUGUGAACAAAAAGCAGUACUGAUUUCAUAGGAAAUCACGUGGGUCACAGUUCCUCAGCUUACCUUCCACGAUUGCUAGUAGCAGAAACAAUUUUUCUAUUCAAAUAAGAUCAGUUCUUACUUUAGACAGGUCUCUAACCUCUGCCUACAAAUUGCUUGAUGUCUCCAGCAGACGUGCACACACUCAGCAUGUGUAAGGUGUUGGAUGGGCUCUCAACUGUCUGUAUUUCAGCACAGAGGUUCACUUACAGCUUCUCCUUAUCUCUUAGGAAUGUUUACCUGCUUACAUCAGCCCAGAGCUCCUCAGAGCCCUGAACAGCAAUUCAUGUGACUGUCCCAGCAGAGAGCUGCACAGCCAGGAGAGGUGGAUGACUUUCUGCCAAGCCUGGAGCACGUCACUGCCUUCCUGCUUCUGUCUCUGGCAAGAAGUACAGCAGAAAUGUUUGCAGGAGCAAUGAAAACCAAAGCACCCUCUUGGCAGACCUCCCUGUUCUCCUGCCUCCUGAUCUCCUCCAGGUUGUGUCAAGAUGAGAAGCACGACUUCCAGCUUAGUUGGCAGGUGAAAUAAAUUGCAGAGGAUGAUGGAAUCAAAUGCUCUUAGAACUGUUAGAAAGAGCUGGGCUCCAGGAAUAUUCAGACCCUCCCCUGCCACCUACUGUUGAUAAGAAGAGCUGGCAGAUUACUUCAGGUUGUGUAUUAGCAGGCAAUCUGAAAACUAGAAAGCAACGUAAAGCUUGCAUGCAAGGACAGACGGUGUAAAUUAAGCAACACGUGGUUUAAUCUGUUCAUUUCUGAUUCCUUCUCGCAUAUGAGAAACCUCCUUGUUGGAACAAUAAUGAAGCAUUAUUUCAACAGAAUUGAAACAGGAUUACAGUAAUAAUUAAAAGCACAACGAGAGCAGCAGAAAGUCUGAGAAAAGCGGUUCUGCUCUUCUUUAAGAGCACGUUUGGUUUGAUCACUUUGAAACAAAGCUGACAGGUGAGCUGGAAGAGUGAUUUACAAGCUGCAACAAAAAGAGGACUGUUAACAGAGGUGGCUGUGCUUCAUCUCUGCUCCUCCUGCUGUCUGCUCCGCCCUGAAGUGAGGCCUCAGGUAAAUGGCACCACCCCACGUCUCCUGAAGGCAAGAAAAAGCUAACACAGCUAUUGGGUAAUGAAAUAGCAGUAAGUUGUCAUUCUGCUGUACUAGCAAUCUGACUGUGGGAUCUCAGCUAUCAAGAUCCUUUCAAAAGAAGCAGCGUUUAUUCCUGAGCCAACAGCACGUAAUCAGAACGGUUUUCUCAGACUUUGCUCUGCACUCAAUCAGCAGCAACUAAAAAGGCAUCGCCUUGUACGUAUCUAUUCACACUUAAUUGUGUGAAUGCCAACAGAAAGGAGGAACCCGCCAGCAAGCUCAGUGCUUGGAGCACAUCGUGCUUACAGCCAGCAGCAAAGCCAGUUUUGGAGGACCACUGGGCCCCCCAGAGGGAGACAAGGAG